ACAAAAUACAGACGCUUCCCCUUUCACCUUUACCUUCUUCCUUUUCUCCUUCUCUCAGCCGUUUCACGAACUUGAAAAGGCAGACACAUGGUUUCAAGUUCGUUUAAAACCUUCUCUCAGACACUGCUUUUCCGUGUCUGCCUCUGAUUUCCAGCACCUCCUCGACACCCUGCCUCGCCCUUCCACCGCCGUCUGGAACACCUUCAUCAUCGGCUUCAUCUGCGACCAGAAGCCCCUCGACGCCCUCCUCCUCUACGCCCACGUCUCUUUCGGGUUUUCAGGAUCUCAGGGAGGAUAUUUGUUUUGCCAUGGUAACCCCUGUCGCAGGUACCUUGGCCACUGGGAUUGGGGCUUUGACGGGUGGUCAAGGAACUGGCUAGAUGGCGGUUAUGCAAAUGAAGGGGAGACAAAGGAUUUUUGGAGGGUUCGAAUCAAAGUAGGGAAGGCGGUCUGCUCCGUUUAGAUUUGGUGCGCCUUUGCUGAGAUUAUGGGGUUCCAGUUUGUGCAUUGGUGUCGUUCUUCUACGUUGUUCUUGAUUGUGGGUUAAUCAGUUCUUUGGUGUGAUGAGGCUGCAACUCAUGAUGCUUAUUCCCAAAAGAAGUAUUAGUAACAACAACAGAAAAAGCAAAAGGAGGUUGACUGAAGCUUGGCUUUGAGGCAGGACUCUCGAAAGCUACCACUUGCAGAGUUAUUCAAUUUCAGAAUUAGAAGUGAAAGAUCUCCGAAACUGAAAUUAAGUUGGGGUGUUCAAAGAACCUGAUGAUUCUAUCCUGAGACAAAGAAUGACUUCAGUCACCAGCUCAGGAAACAAUUAGAUUGUGCGGUGGAAAUCAGAAAUGGCGUGAAGAGGACACAUGCUGGUUUCGCUUGGUUUAAUAUUACCUGGUGAGUACUUCUAACUAUUCUCUUUUCACCAUUUUUUGAUUGUUUUCGCUAUAAGAAAAACGGGUUAAAAGUUGAAGCCGUGGGUAUUUGAUCUCUAGUGGGGUUGUACUGUUAAUUUAGGAAUCAAUUCUCUGAUUUCAUUUGUGAUCUGCUAGGAUUCAGAAUCAUCCUCUGAUAUCAUUUGCGAUUUGCCGGGGUUCAUUCAUUAAGACAAAGCAGUCACCUUUUGUUACUUCACUUUUGAUAUUCACCACCAUUACUGUUUCGCUUUGGUUUUUGGCUUUUUCCCUUUUCAAUGCAUCUAUCAGAAUCAUCAUUCUUUUUGUUACCUUACAUUUUUAAUUUCUCACUGUUUCUUUAAAAGCUUAACAUGUUUUUGAGGCCCUCAAUUAUAAGCUAACAAAGAGUAAAUGAAAUGUUUUGGCUUGAAAAUUUGGAGUUGGUACUUGAUAUGUAUGCAGCUUAUUUUGCUUUGUCUUAAUUUUUAUUUUCUUCACUUUCAUUGGUUGGAACUGAUGAAGUGGUUGUUUUAUGUUUUGAUAUUGUUAAUUAAGAUUGUCAUGGUUUUUUCAGAAUGAGUUUAUUUACCUUUUCAGAAUAUUGAUGGUGAAUUUGGAGGGAUUGGUUAAAUCCAAUCAAAUAAUUUUUUGGCAUAUUGAAAAAAUUCAAUUGAAACAUUCACUGGAGACACACGGUUACCCUCAAUGUUGUAAAUAUGGGUGGAACUUAAAUAAUGUACAUUCCUUCUCACGGUCUCUUUCUUUAAUAAGAUCUUAAGCUUCACAUAGCUUUUUUGGCUUGCAUUCCGUCUCAUAAUCUCUUUCUUUGUUGUCAUUGUUUUUUGGAGGGCGUUUGACAACAGGUUUCUCCUUGGAUUUCAUCUAUUAGGUCUGUUAUAGGAUGGGAAUAUUGAUGGGAGAACACUGUUUGGUUUGAUUCAAUGGAGAUCAUGGAAGUGGUUGUCUGCAGAAAACAAGGAAUUUACUUCAUCAAUGUUUGAAUGGUUAACUAAUCUAAUGGCAUGCCUCGGUGGAUAUUGAUCAGUGCUUUUGGUUCAGGAUGGCUUUUGAUUUCAAGUUGCAAUUGGGUUGGCGGUUGCUGCAAUUUUGGAUUUGCUUCUUGGAUCCUGUAUUGUUUCGCUAGAGGAUGCUGACGUAGAGGACAAGAUGCUGGUGGAUUUUGAGAUAGUAAUUACUAUUGUAAUAGCUACUGUCUUAGCUUUAGGCAGCAUAGUUGGUUUUUUCUUUUUGUCUAAUUUAAUGGCCCAUUGAAUGUUUUGUGCAGAAGCCUCUCAAUAAAAGUGAAGCAGUUGUUCCUUCUAAUUUGCUGGAUAAUAGUUUGGCUUUUGAUCCAGCCCUCAAUAAGAUUGCCUGACAUGAGGGUGCAUCAGACAUGUAGCUUAAUCCCUUUUUGUAAUUUGGUAUUUGAUUUCUAAUGGGCAGAAGUGUUUGAAUUC
Long non-coding RNA from Lotus japonicus, 2341 nucleotides. RefSeq lists it as uncharacterized. The record is from RefSeq and is a predicted model, not a curated record. NCBI's taxonomy places the organism in Eukaryota, Viridiplantae, Streptophyta, Magnoliopsida, Fabales, Fabaceae. The transcript has 5 exons.